GAUGAACGCUGGCGGCGUGCCUAACACAUGCAAGUCGAGCGAAAGGACGAGAAGCUUGCGCGCCUGAGGUUAGCGGCGGACGGGUGAGUAACACGUGGAUAACCUACCUAUAAGACUGGGAUAAUUACGGGAAACCGUAUCUUAUAACGGAUGAUAUUUUGAACCGGAUGGUGCAAAAGUGAAAGACGGUCUUUGUGACAGUAAUAGCUGAAUCCGCGUUGCAUUAGUUGGUUGGUAAGGUAACGGCUUACCAAGGCAACGAUGCAUAGCCGACCUGAGAGGGUGAUCGGCCACACUGGAACUGAGACACGGUCCAGACUCCUACGGGAGGCAGCAGUCGGGAAUCUUCCGCAAUGGGCGAAAGCGUGACAGAGCAACGCCGCGUGAGUGAUGAAGGUCUUCGGCUCGUAAAGCUCUGUUGUUCGGGAAGAACAAAUGUGUAUGUACCUGUGCACAUAUUGACGGUACCGAAUGAAAAAGCCCCGGCUAACUACGUG
This 497-nucleotide ribosomal RNA is filed under the name uncultured bacterium. Its description in RNAcentral is "partial 16S ribosomal RNA". It matches the Rfam family "Bacterial small subunit ribosomal RNA", at positions 28 to 507 of the family's 1533-position model. The record is from RNAcentral.